RNAcentral lists this unclassified non-coding RNA (376 nucleotides) under soil metagenome. RNAcentral's name for it is "partial contains 5.8S ribosomal RNA, internal transcribed spacer 2, and large subunit ribosomal RNA". The stretch from base 1 to 120 matches the Rfam family "5.8S ribosomal RNA", at positions 35 to 154 of the family's 154-position model. The record is from RNAcentral.
GAUGAAGAACGCAGCGAAAUGCGAUAAGUAAUGUGAAUUGCAGAAUUCAGUGAAUCAUCGAAUCUUUGAACGCAUCUUGCGCUCCUUGGUAUUCUGAGGAGCAUGCCUGUUUGAGUGUCAUUAAAUUCUCAACUACACUUACUUUGAAUUGGUGUGGCUUGGAUUUGGGGGGAAAAUUGUUGUGGGCUUUUUGUAUAGUCUGCUCCCCUGAAAUUGAUUAGCGGUACCUUUGUGGAACUGUCUACAGGUGUGAUAAUUAUCUACAUCUUAGACAUCUGCUGGAAUGCUGCUCUCUAAACCUUACUUGUAUUGACAAUCUUGACCUCAAAUCAGGUAGGACUACCCGCUGAACUUAAGCAUAUCAAUAAGCGGAGGA